Molecule: ribosomal RNA, 254 nt
Filed under: uncultured bacterium
Lineage: Bacteria
Description: partial 16S ribosomal RNA
Rfam family: Bacterial small subunit ribosomal RNA
Source: RNAcentral
UACGAAGGGGGCUAGCGUUGUUCGGAAUUACUGGGCGUAAAGCGCGCGCAGGCGGCCAUUCAAGUCGGGGGUGAAAUCCCAGAGCUCAACUCUGGAAUUGCCUUCGAGACUGUCUGGCUUCGAGUACGGGAGAGGUGAGUGGAAUUCCCAGUGUAGAGGUGAAAUUCGUAGAUAUUGGGAAGAACACCGGUGGCGAAGGCGGCUCACUGGCCCGUUACUGACGCUCAGGCGCGACAGCGUGGGGAUCAAACAGG